RNAcentral lists this long non-coding RNA (257 nucleotides) under Lathyrus oleraceus (garden pea). RNAcentral describes it as "Pisum sativum (pea) long non-coding RNA (PSAT_LNC036517)". The record is from RNAcentral. Lineage: Eukaryota; Viridiplantae; Streptophyta; Magnoliopsida; Fabales; Fabaceae.
AAAUAAUUCAUUACUUAUAUUUUUGUGUGUGACAAGACCUUCAAUCUUAUGCCUACGUACCAACCUAAAAAUGAGGAAUCAAAACCUCGUAGUUCGUAGGAAAAGUUCCAAAGAAGUUGGUGAGUUGAUUUUAACAAAAAUUUAAGAAGAGGGCAUAAAAGGCCAAAGUUUUGAAUGGGGUUGUUAGUUAUUUUUGUAUUUUUGAAAUUUGAAUUCAAUAUGGUUAAACUCAUUUAUAAAUUUGAUUUAAGAAAAAG